This 423-nucleotide ribosomal RNA is filed under the name Stenotrophomonas maltophilia. Its description in RNAcentral is "bacterial SSU rRNA". It matches the Rfam family "Bacterial small subunit ribosomal RNA", at positions 32 to 451 of the family's 1533-position model. The record is from RNAcentral. Lineage: Bacteria; Pseudomonadati; Pseudomonadota; Gammaproteobacteria; Lysobacterales; Lysobacteraceae.
AACGCUGGCGGUAGGCCUAACACAUGCAAGUCGAACGGCAGCACAGGAGAGCUUGCUCUCUGGGUGGCGAGUGGCGGACGGGUGAGGAAUACAUCGGAAUCUACUUUUUCGUGGGGGAUAACGUAGGGAAACUUACGCUAAUACCGCAUACGACCUACGGGUGAAAGCAGGGGAUCUUCGGACCUUGCGCGAUUGAAUGAGCCGAUGUCGGAUUAGCUAGUUGGCGGGGUAAAGGCCCACCAAGGCGACGAUCCGUAGCUGGUCUGAGAGGAUGAUCAGCCACACUGGAACUGAGACACGGUCCAGACUCCUACGGGAGGCAGCAGUGGGGAAUAUUGGACAAUGGGCGCAAGCCUGAUCCAGCCAUACCGCGUGGGUGAAGAAGGCCUUCGGGUUGUAAAGCCCUUUUGUUGGGAAAGAAAU